RNAcentral lists this long non-coding RNA (18944 nucleotides) under Solanum lycopersicum (tomato). RNAcentral describes it as "long non-coding RNA (SLYC_LNC001274)". Lineage: Eukaryota; Viridiplantae; Streptophyta; Magnoliopsida; Solanales; Solanaceae. The record is from RNAcentral.
CUAAAAAUAUUUAUUAUAAUCAGACGUAAACCCAAAUAGUUUUCUACACAGGCGGCGAAUUUGUCAUCAAAUUGAUUAAUAAAAUGCACGGAAUCGGCGGCAUCCAUUACUAUCCGAUUUGGCUCCAUUCAGCAAAUUGAUGAAUGAAAUGAACAGAAUCGGCGCAUCCAUUGUUGUCCGAUUUGGCUCCGUUCAAUUGAUGAAUGAAAUGCACGGAAUCGAAGGCAUCCAUUAUUGUCCGAUUUGGCUCCGUUCAGCUAAUUUAAUUUUCCGGCCGACUGAUUUUGACUGAGGUAAUUUUCACCUAAAACUGAGUCUUAUAUGUUCUGUAAAUUAAGUUAUAGUGCUUUAACUCUGCUCUCGCUGCAUAGUGAUAGCCCUAACUUCAAUCUCUCCGUAUCUGUGCUAUUUGGUUAUCUCAAUAUCCAUGUGUUUUGAUACGAAGUAUGGAUAUUUUAGGUAAGUAUAGAGAAACAUUGAUUGUUGAGCCUUGAGGUGUGAAACUUACGAAAAAGUGAUGGUUUAGGUGUUUUUUUAAUCGCUCUGUAUUGAAAUUUUAGUGCUUCGUGUGAAAUACUUCAAUCUGAAGUCAUUUUCGAAUUGUUCGGAUUGAGGUAUAGUUGAUUCGUUGAUUUUCCUACUAUUCAAAGCAACCUUUUUACCGCCCGGGAUCUAAGCAUUUGAAAUCUAUUAGUUUCCAAAUCCAAAUCAGUCCAUCCACAACUGUUAAGAGUAAAGCUAAAAUCGUUUUUGGAAUAUAACAAACCAAAACCAUUAUGUACUAUUGAAACUGAAUCAUAUGAUUGGGAGAAAACUUCACACUUUUCUCUUUCAAUUUGAAGGAAUCUCAAAAGUUAAGAGACAAAAAAUAAGUGACGUUGCACGUUGAUUAGCUUUGUCAUUGCGAUCUGAUGAGGUACGUUGACUUAUUCAGCUCAUUGCUUUUUUCUAUUUUUGGACAAGUUUAUUUUAUAGCGUGUUUAGUCAUCUCAGUUUGUGUUUUGAAAUCAUGAAACAAAGUAACUUUACUAAUUUAUUCGAUAGUGUCAGUAUUUUGGGACUCUAAAAACCUAAAGACUCGCAUAUGCUCCCUCUGACCACUUUUACUUUUCUACUUUUAACUUCACAUGCCUCUUAAGUAACAAUGGUUGAUAUGCAUAUUUUACGACAAUGCCAAUAUUAAUUGAUGAAUACUCUUAGGUCUUGGGACAUGCUUUGUGAAAUAAGUAACUAAUAUUGACGUUAAAUAUAUUUUUUUUUUGUUGUCUAUUCUUGAUAUAUUAGAAGUAAUAAAGUAAAAGUGAAAAUCUACUUUUUGGAAUAGUAGGCGUUUAAGAAUUAACUAAGGGAGUAGUAAACCUGACAAGGUGACCACAAUAAAAAAGUAUAUUAGUAAGGUUAGUAUUACUAUCAACACAAUACUCUAAUACCAAAUCCAUGUUUUACCAAUAAUUGACUCUUAAUUUAUUCAAGAAAAUCACAAAUUAAUGGAGGGUGAAAUUAUUGUAGUUCCAUGUCAGUAGAAUUUGUAAAAAAAUAUCGACCUAUGAGUAGGCAAGGACACAUUAUAACAAUUGUUUUGAACCCCUUCAUGCUCUUGUCGUGUCGAAAUACUGCACAAAAAGAGGAAUAGUAAAGAAAGGAAACGUAAAAUAUACGACUAAUUUACCGUGCUUUCUGUCUCAUGAAAAUUAGUUGAACCAACAUAAUUAGCUCGAUUAAGCAAAUUACCUUGCAAGUUAAUGGUACAAAAAAUGUCCUCAAACACCAAAAUUGACUUAUUCGUUAUGGCAACCGACAACUCCCUUAAAUUUGAAUUCCUCGUCAAUGCAGUCAACUCCAAAUCAUAUAUGUCGAAGUUCAAAUAAUUCGCCAUUGCUGCAAUCAAACUAGAUUUCUAAGUCCUCGGAGGACCAAACAACAAAUACCCUCUUUUCCAUGCCUUCCCUACUUCCUAUAAUAAUCUUUUCUCAUCAGGAAUCUCUCCAAAUCCUUCAAAAUCAUGUGUUUCUGGUCUCCGAUUCCAUCAUGAUUGUCUAAAAAGUGGCGGGAUGAUCAAAUUCACCGGCUUCCACAUGUCAUGUAAAUUGUAAAUCUCUUCAUAUCCCACAUUAUGAAUCUUGAUCGUCUUGUUUUUGUGUUUUUUGUAAUAUUGCUUCUUUUAUGAUGUAUGGCAAGUAAGAAUUAAGGACAAGGUUCUUGUUUUUCUUGUGAAAUGUCAACCCAUGUCUGUGGGGUUGUAGAAGUGUUUUAGACUGUACUUGUCUACAGUUUCACUUGAAUGAUUGCCCAUUAUAAACAUCUACACCUAUUGGAAUAAAACCUUCAUAUCAGAAAAAAGCAUCAUCUUCAAAAGAUCUAUUAUCUUAAAUUAUUACGAAGGCAAAUUAAAUGUGGAAGCUUACUUGAGCACCCAUGCAUAUAGAACAAUUUUUCAAUUCAAGAUGUGAAUCUUUAGGGAACUAAUAUUCACUUCUCUAAUGGUGGACUACUAGAGAAACUUUCAUUAUGUGUAAUUUGGGGACCAUAACCCUAUUUAUAAUUACACAUAGUUUGCUUGUUUCUAUUUUGUUUGGUUUAUUAUUAAAUUAGAAGUUUUAUCAGCAUAUCUUCACAUAAAAACACAUACUUUAUGAUUUUUCUUACGAAACAUUUAACUUUUUGCAUUAAGUUGACUACCUGACUACUUGUAUUCUAUGUUGCUCAGACCCUAAAAAAUAUGGUUAUACACGUGAGAUUCUCCAAAAGUGCAUGACAUUAGAAGGAUUUGAUAUUUUCAUUUGACAAUCACUACAAAAAAACAGAAAUUUGCUACAAAUUUUAUUGCUUAUUCGUUGCUAAAUAGCUCAUAGCUAACACAAAUUUUGGAUAAUUUGAAGUGACAUAUAUUGUUAUUAAGCUACAAAAUUUUUACACUACUAAUCCACAUAUUCUUAGUACUAAAUAUAUUUUAAGAGUUCAAGCAACAUAACUUUUAGUUUGAUCUAAAACUUUUAUUAUAACAAAUAAUAUAACUUGCAAUUAUCAUGUUAUAUAUAAAUGUGUGUGUGCAAAUAAGUACCUCAUUACGUUUCAUGGUGAUGUUCAAAUUUUUCUCCUUCUCAGUCUUACUGAAUUUAAAUAUAUGGAUUUGAGGGGACAACUUGUUGGCCAAAUAAAUCGAUGCAACUUCAUAAACUUUGUUGUUGAAGAGGCCAUCAAAUUCGUCAAUCACCAUCGUUAGCUGAUUUGAGAACUUGGUGAACAUGUUUUUGAGUCCAAAGAAGAGAUAUGCAUGCAAUUCCCUAGGGAUGUAGUUGUGGAUUAUCGUAGGGACCAACAUGAUUGUUGCAGUAACUAAGCCUACUCUCGAUAAAAUUGUCUUGGCGAGGGUUAAUUUUCGAUUUUGCACAUGAAGAGGACAUGCUUCUUAAGGGCUUUUUGGCUAGUGGGUCUGUAACAACUAAAUUUUUGUUCCUGAAAAUGUAACAAUCAAGACAAGAAAGUACGAUAAGUAUUUAUAUUUUAUUUCAUUAUGUGUGUGGAUUACAAUCUUUAUGAAAUCUUAAAUAGAAAGAUGUAAUCGUUUUAUUCUUAUCAUCAUGACCAGUAUUUUGGAUGGUUAAAGACGAUAAAAAGCGACAAGGAUCUGUCUCGCCACAGGGUGAGGCGAGCAAUGAGGCGCUCACCUUUCGUAAAGUGCGGCACCAUUUAAUAGCAAAAAAGUAAAAUAUUUAAUUGCAUGUGUAAAUAAUUAAAAUCUCAAUAGCAAUAACAUAUUAACAAAUAUUUCAAUUCAAAAACUGAAAAAUAGAUAAUACAUGCUAAAAUAAAACUUGAAUGAGAAAAAAAAACCUUAACAAAAGUCAAAACAAAGGUAAGAAGAAGGAAAAAGAAAUAAGAAGAAGGAAAAAGAAAAGAGGAAGAAGAAAUAUAUAUUGGUUAAACUUUGGAGUUGUCGGAAAAGUCUGGCUAGUUGCCGAAGGAGUCUAGUCGAAAACGCUAAAAUUACGUUUUAACUUUUGAAACCCUAAAUUGGUCGCCUAAGAAAAUACAAAAGGCGACACCUUUCUUGCCUUUUGUCAUCAUGUCGUCGCAUUUUGAUGAUCGUCUCGCCACAAAGCUAAAAGGAUUUGAAGAUCGCCUCGCCUCUCGCCAUCAGUGACGAGGUGAUCGCCUUUCACAACAAUGAUCACGACCAUCAACUCAAGGUUUUAUAGUUGUAGAAGGUAGACUAUUUAAGUGUAAUUAACUCUCGCUUGAUUUUGAUCAGCUCAUUUGAUGAGGUCACAUUUAAUUAGCCAAGACAUGUCAAUUGGAACAUUUGUUUGCUAUUGAUGUGUUUAAUAUGACUUGGAGUGCCACAUCAUUGGAAUACGUGACAUCAUUUUAUUUGUCCUUUAUUUGACUUGAUGUGUCAUGUCAUUUGACACAUGGCAUGUGCCUUGGCCUAAUUGAGCGGGCUCAUUAUUUGAAGACCGACUCAAUGGACUAGCUCACGUGAAAUUGGACUUUGCUUAAAUCCAUAUCUUGGAAUUAAAAAAUCUGAUCUUGAUUUGGGUUUGAUAUUUAUUGAAUUUAUGUGAAUUUAAUCUAGAUUUAUUUCCAUAAAUUCCUAAGUCUACUAAUUCCUCAAGAUUUUGCUGAAGUGUUAUGUGCCUAAAACAAGAGUGAACUUGUAGAAAGCAAGAGUGAGUAGUAGAAACUGACAGCCUUGAUUCAUUGGUUUAGAUUAGUUUUAAUCCAGAAGAGGUCUUGGGUUCAAUACUACUUAACCAAUUUUUUUUAUGAGUAUAUUGUAGUUUUCAAAACUAAGCUUAGUUUGAGGUUUGAACCCCUGACUUCAAACACUAAACCGGACAGUGAACCAACAUGCAAUCAGUUUAUUAAUAUCAAAUAACAUCAUUUUGUUUUACAUAUAGCUUUAUACAUAGUUUUAGUAUAUAUAUUUUGCAAAAUUUUCCAACAAGCAGUGUCGCUUGCCACCCCUUUGCUAAAUGUAAGUCUACCCUGUUGAGCUCCCCUAUUCUUCAUAUUUGCAUAGAAAUAAGCAGAAUUAAAAUCCUCUAAGUGGAGCCACUGGACUCUAAAUUUCAGCGUAUUGAUGCUCUCCUCAAUCACACUCCAUUUUUCUAGUUUAAAUUUUGAUGACUUUUGCUGCUCAAUCAAUAUAGGGUCGUGCCUAUGAUCCCUCAUUUGUUCUUGAUGAUCAGUUAGAUCUUUCCUCCAUUGCCUUUUAUCUGCUUGAAGGAGUUUUAUUAGGAAAUAAGACGAGUUUCAUAGCAAUAAUGGAACAGAAGGUGAAAGAGAAUAAAGUCAAUAAUGUUAUAGAGAAGAUAGUCUCAUAAUGGAAUGGCUAGGAAACUAAGCUCAAAGUACUAGAAAUAAAAUUUGGAUUUUGUGGAAUCUCCAACUGUAGUGGAGUACACUAUGCUUAAUAUAGGAAAGUAUCUUCGGGGUGGUCCACUGGUUUGGGCUUGGGACUUCUAUGUUGAAGGUCUCAUGUUUGAAACCCCUUGCCAGCUAAAGCAAGAGGUUUGCCUCCUGGGUCGAGCUCGUCGCAUCGGUUUGCCUAGUGCGGGUUACCUCUCUUAUGUGGUCGCAAGCUAUUGCAUGGGAGCGAGGGUUUUACCCCGUGCGCACCCAAAGGAUGGAGGCUACGAAUUUCCCUUGUCAUAAAAAAAUAUAGGAAAGUUUUAAAGUCAUAGUCAAUACCAACUAUUACUAUCAUUAGUCAUGGUACAAUAUUUUUUUAUGACAAGGAAAACCCGCAGCUGAUACCCUUUGGGUGCGCACAGGGUAAAAACCCCGCUCCUAUUCAAUAGCUCGUAAACCAGAUAAGAAAGGUAACCAGCACCAGGUAAGACUGGUGCGACGAGCUCGACCCAGAAGGCAAACCCCUUGCUUUCGCUGACAGGGGGUUUCACACUUGAGACCUCCAACAUGGAAGUCCCAAGCCCAAACCACUGGGCCUGCCCGAAGGAUACAAUUUUUCCUAUUUACUUUGGACUAUUUCUCACUUUAUUUGAUUUUCUUUUCUUCACACGAUUUUACUAUACAUUUACCAUUUCCUCAAUUGCAAUUGCGUCAAUAUUUUGGUUACUAUUUUUAUUUACACAUUUGGUACAUAACAAUAACAUCCACUAGCCAAAAAAACCCUUAAACAUAUGUCCUCUUCAUUAGCAGAAUGGAAAAUGGCGUUGACCAAGAUUGUUUUAUCAACAAUAAGCUCUAUUGUUGUGACAAUCAUGUUGGUUCGUUCGAUAAUCCACUGCUACAUCCCCUUUGAACUCCAUGAAUAUCUCUUCUUUGGACUCAAAAAUAUGUUCACUAAGUUCUCAAAUCAGCUAAGAUGGUGAUUGACGAAUUUAAUGGCCUUGUCAACAACGAAAUUUAUGAAGUUGCUGAAAUUUAUUUGCGCAACAAGUUGUCACCUAACAUUCAUCGACUUAAAAUUAGUUAGCCUGAGAAGGAAAAAAAUUUCAACAUUGCCAUGACAUGUAAUGAAGAGGUAAUGUUAUACUGAUAAUUGCAUCUUAUGGUAUUUGUUACCAUAAAAUAUUUAGACUAAACUAAAAAUGAUGUUGCUUGGACUCUUAAAAGAUAUACUAAUAAGAAUACAUGAAUUAGUGGUGGAAAAAUUUUGUAGCUAAACAACAUAUCCACUACACAUCAUAAAAAAAUGUGCUGGAGAUGAGCUAUUUAGCAAAAAAUUUCGUAGCAAAUUUCUGUUUUUUUUGUAAUGAUUGUCGAGUUAUGUUUGACCUUUCUAAAGCAAUGCACUUUUGAAGAAUUUAACACAUGUAUGACCACAAUUUUUAGGGUCCGAGCAAUCUAGAACAGAUGUAGUCAGACGGUCAACUUAGUGCUUAGAGUUAAAUGUUCAUAAGAAGCAUAAUAAAAUAUGUGUUUAUAUGUAUAGAUAUGCAGAUACUACUUCUAAUUUAAAGAUCAAUUAAACAAAUUAGAAACAAACAAACUAUGUGUAAUUAUAAAUAGGGUUACAGACAUAUGACUUUUUUUUCUAAUAGUCCCCAUUUGAAAGUGAAUUAAUUCUUGGGUUGUUUCUUGAAAUUAUGAAUUUAUCUAAUUUAAUUCCAUAAACUCCUAAAUUUACUAAUGCUUCAAGGUUUUGCUGUAGUUUUAUGUGCCUAAUGUGACAAAAUAGUAACCAAUAAAUUGAUUCUUGAAUUAAUUUUUUUUUACGAUCUACAAGAAGGUAAGGGGAAAUAGAGUUCAAUGGCAAUUGAGGAAAAUACAAAAUUUAUUGGAAAAUCAUUUGGAAUAGUUUAUAUUCAGACUAAAUAAACUAGUUGUUUGAUGUCAUGCUUGUAAUGCUUAGAAACUAACAUCACAUACAGAGUCUACGAGAAAAAUUAUAAGAGUGUGAAGAAGCAAUUAUGGUUAUAGAAAGCAUGAAGAAUCUGUAAACAAAAUGCAGGAAAUACUUGUAGAAUUAUUCUCCUAUUCAAAUGUCAAAUGGAAUAAGAAAACAUUUUCUUACUCAUAAACCAAAUACAGUAAUAGCAAUAUGAAAUUUCAGCUAAUUAUUUUUGUUCGUCAAUCAAUAUAAUAGAACUCUUAAGGGGGGCAUACCACUUGAUCGUUUACAUCAGAUUAACGAUUACAAAAUUACUCCUUAUCUUUCUUUCUUCUAAUCAACAGACUCCAUUUGAGUUAUUUCCAUGGCCUCUUCCUUCUCUUUCAUCUUUUUGUGAAGAAAAUUAAUCAACCUUUUUAGUGAAUCUUCAACUUCAUGUUCCUGCAACAACUGCUCUGCCACUUCUGCUGGUGUCACAUUGAGUAUGUCUAUCAAUUCCUCAAUUUCUUUGAAAAAUUUAUGAUCCUUAAUCCCUAAGUAAUUGGUAGCAAGAAGUUUGAAUCCAGAAGGUGUGCAGUAUGUCAUGUGAAUGUGCACAUCCAUUCUGCCAGGUCGCAGCAGUGCAGGGUCAAGCUUUUCUAUGUGAUUUUUUGUGAAAAUUAUGAUUCUUUCGCCUCCACAGCUCGACCAUAGCCCGUCAAUAAAAUUCAGUAAACCUGACAAGGUGAUCUGCAAUAAAAAAUAUAUAUCAGCAUGGUAAAGUAUUACACAAUACACUAUUACCAUAUCCAAAGUAUCCCAAUAAUUGACUCUUAAAUUAUUCAAGAAAAUUACAAAUUAAUGGAGGGUGAAAUUAUUGUAGUUCCAUGUUGGUAGAAUUUAUAAAAAAAUAUCGACUAUUUCGACACAUUAUAACAAUUGUUCUGAACUCCAUCACAUCUUGUCAUGUCGAAAUGCUGAAAUAAAAAGAAGCCAACAUAUCCUAUCUAAUUUAUGGUAAUUAAUCAAUUAACCUAAAAAUACUAAUAGCAAGAGGGAAACCCGUAAUCUUCAACUUGACCAAUUCCCUGACUAUAGAUGUCAAACUACCCCAUAAACUAAAACCAAGUCGGAAUAGUAAAGAUAGGAAAUACAAAAUUAAAAGACUAAAUUUACCAUGCUUUCUGACUGAUAAAAAUCAUUACCAUGCUUUCUGACUGAUAAAAAUCAUUUGAAUGAACAUUCAUAUCAUGAUUAACCAAAUUAGCUUCCAAAUUAAGGGUACAAUCAAUGUCCUCAAUCACCAAAAUUGACUUAUUGGUUGUGGCAACCAACAACUUCCUUAAAUCUAAAUUCCUUGUCACUUUAGUCAACUCCAAAUCAUAUAUAUUGAAAUUCAAAUAAUUCGCUAUUGCAGCUAUCAAACUAGAUUUCCCAGUCCCCGGAGGACCAAACAACAAAUACCCUCUUUUCCAUGCCUUUCCUACUUUCCAGUAAUACUCUUUCCUCGUCAUGAAUUUCUCCAAAUCCUUCAAGAUCAUGUCUUUCUGGUCUGAAUCCAUCACGAUUGUCUCAAAAGUGGUAGGAUGAUAAAAGUUCACCGACUUCCACAUGUUAUGUAAACAGAAUUUCUUUCCGUAACCCACAGUAUGAAUCUUGAUCGUCUUGUUUUUGUGUUUUUGCAAUGUUGCUUCUUCCACGAUGUAUGUCAAGUAAGAAUUAAGGACAAGGUCCUUGUUUUUCUUGUGAAAUGUCAACUCAAAGGACCUUAUUAUAGAUUUCUCAGCAGAAUCCAUGUCUCUGGGGUUGUAGAAGUGUUUAGACUCUGUUUGUUUGCAGAGCCAAAUCCACUUGAAUGUCUGUCCAUUAUAAACAUCUAUAACCUGUUGGAAUAGAAUCACAAGAUUAAAGAAAAAACAUCAUCUUCACAAGAUCUAUUAUCUUAAAUUAUUACGAAGGUAAAUUAAAUGUGGAAACUUACCUGAGCACUUAUGAAUAUAGAACAAUUUUUCAAAUCAUGAUUUUAAGAAAAGUGAUUUUUACUUUUCUAAUGGUGGACUAUUAGAAAAAUGUCAUAGUUUGUUUUUAUUUUUUCUUGUUUAUCAGUGAAUCAGAUGUUGUAUCAAGAUAUGUUUGUCUGAUCUUGAAACCCCAACCCCAACCCCAACCCUAUUUAUAAUUACACUUAGUUUGUUUGUUUCUAAGUUGUCUAAUUUAUCAUUAAAUUAGAAGUUGUAUUAGUAUAUCUAAACAUAAUAAUACAUUUUUUAUGAUGCUAAAAGCUAAAAAAUUUAUUUCUAAAUAGCUCAUAGACACAAUAUUUUUUAUAAUCUGUAGUGUCAAAAUAUUUUUGUUUACCCACAGAAUUAGUCCACUCUAGUCUAUGUAUUCUUAGUAAUUAAUAUAUUUGAAGAGUCAAAAGCAAUACAAUAUGUAUAUGCACGCAAAAUAUUACCUCCUCAUUACGUUCCAUGGUAAUGUUGAAAUUUUUCUCCUUCACAGUCUUACUGAUUUUAAGUCUAUGGAUGUGAGGGGAUAACUUGUUCGCCAAAUAGAUUGUUGCAGCUUCAUAAAUUUUGUUUUUGACUAGGCCAUCAAAUUCGUUAAUCACCAUCGUUAGCUGUUUUGAGGAAUUGGUGAACAUGUUCUUGAGUCCAUAGAAGAGAUACGCAUAGAGUUCCCUGGGAAUGUAGUUGUGGACUAUCGUCUGAACCAACAUGAUUGUUGUAGCAAUUGAGCCCACUCUCGAUAAAACCCUCUUUGCUAGGGCUAGUUUCAACUCUGUUGAUGAAGAGGACAUGCUUCUUAGGGACUUUUUCGCUAGUCCGUGUGUAAGAACUAGUUUUUUUCCCCUGAAAAACGAACAAUCAAUGCAAGAAAAUAGCGACAAGUAUUUAAUAUUUGAUUCCAAUUAUGUGUGGGAUUAUAAUGCUUAUGAAAUUUAUGUAGAAAGGUGUAAUCCUCUAAUUCUUAUCAUCAUGACCAUCAACUGUUGGUCUUUGCUUGUUCUUGAGUUGAUGAUUCAUUUGUUAUCGAAAUUUUAGUAUGAAUAUGGAGCUAGGGUUUGAUCACACAUAUGAAGGUAUAGAAACUUACGACUCACCACCAGAGAUGAAGAACUUGCAGAUCGCCCCUAGAGUGUAUAGUUCUCUCUAGUUCUUCGGAUGAUCUUCAGAUUGAAGAUGCUUUCUCCCCAAUUCCUUGAAUGAUCCCCUUGAGAGGUAUGUAUCACCCCUAUUUAUAGUUGUAGAAGAUAGACAAUUUAAGUGUAGUAGAUGAACUCUCUUGCUUGAUUUUGAUUGACUCAUUUGAUAAGAUCACAUUUAAUUGGCCAAGACAUGUCAGUUGUAACAUGUGUCUGCAUUUGAUUGGUGUUUAUUAUGACUAAGUGUGCGGCGUCAUUUGAAUACGUAAUAUCAUUUUAUUUGACUUGGUGUGUUGUAUCAUUUGACACGUGGAAUGGGCCUUGGGCUAAUUGAGCGGGCUCAUUAUUUGAAGACCAACUCAAUGGACCAGCUCAGGUGAAAUUGAACUUAUCUUUAAAUCCAUAUUUUGGAAUGAAAUUAUUUGAUCUUAAUUUGGGUAUGAUAUAUUUCUAGAUUUAAUUCCAUAACUCGUAUGUCUACUGAUGCUUUAAAAUUUUUCUUUAAUGUUAUGUGCCUAUCAUGUGAUAAAAUAGUAACCAAUACAUUGAUUCUCGAUUUUUUUUUGAUCUACAAGAAUGUAAGGAGUAAUAGGGGGUGGAAAAAAAGAGCGGGUGGAAUACGAAGAUCUAACCACCAAUAUGUAUAACUUACCUUUUUAAGUUUAGGUGAUACCUUUUUAUCACACAAUACUUUAGCGGCAAACCUUCAUUUCAUCCAUGCUGCCCCAAUGUGAUGUAUGACAUAUCCUCGAUGUCUCCACUAUUCUAGAGUACGAACCCAAGAUACUUACAACUCCCUCUUGGAAAUAGUUUGUGUGGCAAGCUUCUUAUUAAUAAACAAUAUGUCGUCUACAAAUAACAUAUAGCAAGGCACCUCCUUUUCAAUAGACCAUGUCAACUCAUCUAUCACCAAAGCAAAUAAGAAAGGGUAAAGAAUUGAUCCUUGAUGUAGCCCCAUCUCAACUAGGAAAUUCUCCAAGUCUCCUUUGAUCGUUCUAACCCGAGCCUUAGAUCUAUCUUUCAUGUUCGCCCUAAUAUAUGCCAUCAGGAUACCUUAGCCACAAAAUACCUCCAGAGAACAUCCCUUGGGACUUUAUCAUAAGCCCUUUGAAGGUCAAUGAACACCAUAUGAAGAUUCCUCUUUUUUUCUGUACUUCUCCAUUAAUCUCUGCACUAGGUGGAUGUUUUAAGUUGUCGAACACCCUAGCAUGCACCAAAAUUGAUCCCUAGAAAUGGACACGCCUAUCCUCACCCUCAUAUCUACCACUCUCCCAAACCUUUAUUGUGUGGCUCAGCAAUUUGAUACUUGCAGUUUUGGAUUUCACCCUUUUUCUUGUACAAUGGAACCAUUGUCCUCCACCUCCAUUCGUUGGGCUUUUUUGUUAUCUUAAAAAUAGCAUUAAAUAAAAAAAAUAAGGAAAUAGUAAAAUAGUAACCAAUAUAUUGAUUCUUAAAUUAUUAUCUUUUUCCGAUCUACAAGAAGGUAAGGGGAAUUAGGGUGCAAUGGCAGUUGAGGAAAAAUAUCAGAUUUAGAUGUUAUACACAAAAGUAUGCAAAAAUAACUUUAAUGAUUUUGUGUAGCAAGAAAAAGGAAUGUGUUGAUCAAUCUUACUAAAAAUAUAGAAAGAAUAUGAAUGUAAUAAAAACAAACAUUAGCAGCCUUUCGUUGUGAAGUUAUGACUAGAAUUGAUGGGUAUCAUUAAAAUACUAUUUUUACCUUUGAAAUAUCUUUACUUGAAACUUACUAUUUGCAUGACAAAUUACUGAUGAAUGUUUUAUUUUAUUCAUAAUAUAUUUCUUACAAAAUAUUAUUACACAAUAUUUGAGAAUGAUUUUUGUAGAGGGGUUAUUUGAGUGUACUAAUAUAAUGAAUGUUGUUAUAGAGAAGUACAAUAUAAUAUGAAAAAACUAUUGGAGAAAAUCAUGUCGUAAUAAUGACGGUCGUUAUAGAGUGUUUUGAUGGUAGUUAGUAUUGACGAUGUAGACUUUGAAACUUUCCUAUAUUGUGCCCUCUAGACUUUGUGAUUCUCAACUAAGGUUGUGUGAUAGAUAUUCUUGGUACUUAAGGGUACUCCAAGAUAUCUAAAUGGCAUGAACCCGUUUGAAAAGCCUAAUCAGUAGUUGUUGGUCAUCUUUUACUAGGGAUGACAAUGGGGCAGUGCGGGGUAGGGGUUGGGCGGGUUGAGCUUAACCCGCAAAAUUUUUAAUCUGCCCCGCCUUGCAUCACAAUUUGUUUCAUUUUCAAUCCACCCCACCCCAUCCCGCCUCCCAUAGACCUGCACCGCAUGAACCCCCCGCAUAAUUUUUUCCUUUUUUUCUUUUUCUAGCUUAGUUUGAUACUAAAAUAAAAUUCGUAAACAUAAAUUCAUUUUUGUAUUAAUUUAAUAGGAUAGUGACUUCCAAGUUUUAUUUUUUUAGAGGUCAUAUUAUAUUUUAUUGAACCAUUUUCAUUCACUAUCUUAAAUAUUUUAGUAGUUUUGAAGAAAUUAUCCUAAUAAAUAAUAUUUUUUCACUCUUAUAACAUAUAAAAAGUUAAAAUUAAGCUAGAACCCACAUAAAAUUACACAUACCCGCCUCAGUCCCGCAUUAGUAUUUAAAACCCCACUUCAAUCCGCCCUGCAUCCCACCUGCUCCGCACAACCUUCAACCCGUCUCGCCCUGCCCUACACUGUAUAGCCUUAAACACACCCCACCCCGCCCCGCAUCGGUUCCGCGACAUUGCCAUUCCUGUCUCUUACUCCAAAAUAAAUGGAGCUUUUCUCCUUAUUUUCCACUAACCCUGCAAAAUAAUAAUAAAUCAUCAGCAAAUCCUAGUUGGACCAGGUUCAACUUUGCACAUCUAGGAUGGUGUUUUAGUUGUGGUUGGAGCUUUAAUCUCUUUAGCAAUCUACUGAAGUAGUCAUAGCUAGAAAAAAAAUGUAAGGAGACACUGGGUAUCCUUGUCUUUUUUUGAUGAAGUAAUUAGUUCUAUUGCAGGCAUCAAGUAGAUGCAUAAUAGUUACAAAAGCUUAGUAGCAAAAGGUUAUCUCUCAUUUACAUUGUUAAUUGAGAAUCAGGGAGUAGACAUGGUUUAGAAGUGAAUCAGGGCAAUCUAGAGGGGAUAAAUAAACCCAAAUAUACAAAAACAUGAGGCAGUUAGCUUCUAAAGAUUGGUAAGUAGUUGAUAUUCCAUCAAAGCAUCUUCUAUUCCUUUCGUUCCAGAUACUCCAAAAAAUGGCUGAAGGUAUCAUCUUCCAUAUUCUCUUGAUGGUGCUAUCAACUUUCCAGCAACCCCAGCUUAUUACAACAUCCCUGAUAUUCUGAGGCAUGACCCAUUUGAAGCCAAAAAGAUCUAAAAACAUACUCCACAAGUUUGCUGCUAUUUGACAUUGUAGAAAUAGGCGGUUGUGUGUUUCUGCUUCCUUCUUGAACAUAUAACAUCUGGUAGCCAUCUGAAACUUCCUUCUGGUCAGGUUGUCUUGGGUCAGGCAAGCUCCAUGGUCCAGCUGAAGCAACUAAUCUUAGGAGGCAAUUUUAUCUUCCAUAUAAGCUUCCAAGGCUAGUGGUCUGUAAUUGCAUUUCGUGGGCCUAGAUGCUUGAGAGCUGCUUUAACUGAGAACUUCCCACCCCUUUUUUUCUCCCCAGUUGAGCUGGUCUGGUAUUUCACUGUUAAAUGCAACACUGUAAAGUGUUGCUAGUAGGCUGACCAACUCCUCCAUUUCCCAGUCCUGUAUGUUCCAAGAAUUCCCUUUUCUGUAUUGCUGAUUAGUAGAGUUAGGCUCCCUUGCUUUCUGGAACAUGUUAGGGUAAGCAACCAUUAAGGAGGAGUUGCCUAUCCAUUUGUCUCUCCAGAAACUGAUAUGUUGUCCAUUCCCUGCAAUUAAGUAUUUGUGUUGAGAGAACUCCUCCCAUAAUUUGCUUAUACUUCUCCAGACACCAACUCCAUAUGGAGCUGUUGAAACAUUAGAACACCAGUGGUUUAGUGCUUCAUGUUUAGCAAUAAUCACAUCCUUCCAAAGGCUAUGCUCCUCUUGAGUGUAUCUCCACAACCACUUCAUAAGUAGGCAUUUGUUUUGCAAUGCUAAGUCUCUAAUGCCCAAACCACCUAACUUUUUUGGUAACAAGACUAUUGGCCAAUUGACCAAAUGGAAUUUAUGGCUUUUGUUAUUCCCUUCCCAUAGAAAAUUCCUUCUGGUUUUGUCCAGUUGCUUCAAAGCCUUACUAGAUAUGGGAUGUAGUGACAUACUAUAUGUGCUAUCAAGUACACUGAUUAUCAAUGUAAGUCUUCCACCCAUAGAGAGGUACUGCAGUUGCCAUUUAGCAAGCCUUUUUUCAAACUUUUCAAUCAUUCCACUCCAGAUGCCAUCCGCCUUUUAUUUAGCCCCAAAUGGAAGGCCUAAGUAAGUGGUUGGGAAAAUUCCAGUUCUACAACCCAAUAUGUCUGCCAGCUCCUCAAUGUUCUGCACCUCAUUAAUAGGAUAGAUCACACUCUUGAGCAUGUUUAUAUGGAGACCUGAAACAGCUUCAAAUAUGAGUAGCGUAAGGUUUAAAUAUAGGACCUGCUCUCUGUCAGCCCCACAAAAGAUCAAUGUAUCAUCUGCGUAAAGCAAAUGUGAGAUGUUAACUGCUCUAUCCCUUCCUAUAUCAAAACCUUUGAGCCAUUGCAGUUGUUUGGCUUUGUUUAACAUUCUACUCAACCCUUCCAUAGCUAGGAUGAAUAGAAAAGGUGAAAGUGGAUCACCUUGCCUUAGGCCUCUCUGUGCAGAGAAAAAGCCUACUAGGCUUCUGUUGAUUAGAACUGAAUACUUAACUAUGGAGAUGUUGAACUUAAUCCAUUUAAUCGACCUAUCACCAAACCCCAUCUGCCGGAGAAUAGAUAUGAGAUAAGACCAAUUCAAAUGGUCAAAGGCUUUCUCAACAUCUAAUUUGCAAAGUAGUCCAGCAUUCCCUUGUUUCAAUUACCAAUCAAGCACCUCAUUUGCUAUGAGUGAGGCAUCAAUGAUUUGUCUCCCUUUGAUGAAGGCAUUUUGUUGGUUUGAGACUAGUUUCCCCAUAACUGUCUUCAAUCUAUUUGCGAGGACUUUUGCAAUGAUCUUGUAUAUGCUUCCAAUCAAGACUAAUAGGUCUGUAAUCCCUAAGUUCGCUUGCCCCCUUUUUCUUAGAAAGAAGUGAUAUGUAUGAAGCAUUACAAGACUUAACUAUCCAGCAAUGUUGAUGGUAGUGUUGCAUAACUGUUAAUAGAUCUGUCUUGAUAAACUCCCAAGAGCUCUGGAAGAAAGCCAUAGUAAAACCAUCAGGUCCGGGGGCUUUGUCAGGGGCACUUGAUUUAAUGGUUGCUAAUACUUCCUCCUCUCUGAAAGCUGCUUCUAAGUUACUGCUUUCCUAUGAUGGAGGCAAUUCCUUCAAACAUGAUUGUAGGCCUUCACUCUUCUAGUUCAGUGUACACUCCUUCAAAGAACUCUAGUGUCUUCUUUUUAAUUGUCUCCUUAUCUUCAAUGACCACAUUGUCUAGUAGAAGUCUGUCUAUGCAAUUGGAUCUUCUACUAGAAUUAGCAAUCUUCUGAAAGUAUUUGGUGUUCCUAUCCCCUUGAGCCAGAGGAACUUGGAUUUUGCCUACAUGAGAUCUCCUCUAUCUUGGCUAACUGUUGUAUCUCAGCUCUCAGGCUUGUCAUUUGACUAGCCUCUAUAGUGCUCAAUUGUUUGCCUUCAGUGUUCCGUUCCAAGAUCAUCAACUCGUCUAGUGCUUUUCCUUUCAUGGUCUCCAGUUUUCCAAAUUUCUCCUUGUUCCAAGUGGUUAUGUCCUUCUUUAGACUCUUCAAUUUUUGCAUAAGGAUGAAAUCAAUCCGCCCAUUUAAAUUUUAGCUCUGCCACCAGAGUUUUAGCUUAUCCAGAAAGCCAUCAACUUCCAGCCACAUGUUCUCAAAUUUAAAGUAGGAAGGAGUGGCAUCCCAAUCCUCACUUUCCAGUAAAAUGGGCCUGUGAUCUGAAAUUACCCUUGGCAAUGCAAUUUGUUUCACAACCUUGAAAGAGUCAUUCCAUUCCGAGGGUAUAAUGAAUCUGUCAAUUCUCAAAGCUUGUUGAUUGUUCUCAUCUCUGGACCAAGUGAAUUGGGCUCCCUGCAAUGGUAGGUCAAUUAUCCCCAGGUCUUGGAUUUUAUGUCUGAGAAUGUUGCCAUGGAUCUUGAUCUCCUUUUGCAAUUUAACCGUUCACUUUCAAAUCUGCAUACAUUGAAGUCACCCCCUAUGACCCACUCAUGUUCCCAAAGUCCUCUUAUCCCUGCUAGUUCAUCCCACAUCUCCUCCCUUUUCGAAUUAGUGUGUGGACCAUAAAUGCCCAUGAAGCACCAUCUGAACUCUUCAAGUGUACUUUGUAGCAUACACGAGAUCGAGUAACAGCCCAGUUGUGUGUCCAUUUUCACCCAUUUCCUUUUAUCCCAGAUUACUAUAAUACCACCUCUUGUGCCGUUUGCUGUAAGUUCCACCCAAUCAGCCCAUCUAUUCCCCCAUAAUUGUUGUUUAGUCUACAAUUGCAGCCUUGGACUUUGGUUUCUUGUAAACAUAAAAUGUCUACUUUCCACUUCUAAAUGAGGGAUUGAUAGUGCUUCUCUUCCCCUCCUCAUUCAGCCCCCUUAUAUUCCAACUAAGGACUUCCAAAUUCAUCUAGACAGUGAGGUGCACUGCCUGCCCCUACUUCCACUACUUUGUUGUUCUUUUUUGUCAUAAUUGAUCCCACAGAUUUAAUUUUUCCUCUCCCUUCUCCUUUGUUUUUUUUUCCGACUCCCAGACUCCUUUUAAUUUAACUCCAGCUUUUGAACUUGUUUUUGUCUUCUUUGCUCCAUUCUUAGAACUAAAUCUAAGAGAUCAUGUUCAAAACCUGUAGCAUUGACCCCGAAGGCUUCGCAUGCCUUAACCAUUGUGAUUUUUGUCCACUUUGAUGUCUCGACUACAGUUGGUUUGUCUAUAACCUGUGGAUUGGGGUUACCUUCAUACCAUGUGAAUGGUAAAGCUUCUCUUAUUGCUAUCGAGGGGAAAUCUGUAUCUGAGUUGAAAUAGGCAACCAGUUCCCUGCUUGAGGUGUGUUGUUGCAAUAGCCUGUGGAUUCUUUCAAGGGUAAUUCUUUCAUCAUCUGCAUCUGACUGCCCCACUCCUGAUAUUUGCUCUACGAAUUAUGUUUGUGAUAGAACACUGAAUCUAUUAGAAGCUGGGUUGGGUUUUUAAACUUGCCAAAUGGUUAUAAGUUUAAAGAGUUUGGCCUCAUUUAAAACUUUAGCUUUUUCUCUCUUGCCAUUUGGGCCUGUUUGGUAAUAAAUCUGAUCAGCUUCUAGGCUCACUUGUAGUUGAUUCAGCACUGGACCACUCCCAUUAACAUUAUUAGAUUCUUUGACUUUUGCCCUUUUGUCCACUGGGCAAUCCAGGUUGUCCCUUUUUGGAGUAAAGUUGUCCUCUUUUGAAUUAAAGUUGCUCCUUUUUAAAUUAAAGUUGUCCCUUUGUGUCUCUUCAUAUGAUACGAGGUUUGAGGUGCCAACUUCUUCCUUUGACUUCCCUUUCUCGAGAAGAGUGGCUUUUCCGGCGAGACGAACAACCGUAUGCAGAUCCUCUAAGACUGUGAGAUCGAAACCCCAAUCUUCUUUGAGCAGCUCUAUGGAUCUUGUGAUUACCUUCAUGUUCUUCUUCGCACAUAUUCGAGCCCAUAGCAUGUGUGUUCUGUGUGUCGUGUCUUCAUCAACUCCAACAUAGCCUCCGCACUUAUCUCUGAUAAAUUGAAAGGUUUCUGAAGACCAUGCGUGUAGUGGAAUUCCAAAAACCUUUAUCCAUUUAUGAUCAGAUUUCUCUGAGGUUAGCUUUGAGCCAGCCACUGAAGACCACCAUUCAAGAGUUAGCUUUCGUCCCUUCCAGAACCACUCACAAGCUUUUACCCUACAUGCCUCCAGUAUUGAUUAUGGUUAAUGGAUGUGACUUUAAGUCCUGCAGUAACUUGCCACCUGCCCACAAACCAUUUUUGGAUGAUCUCUGCAUUUGGACUAGUGUUGAAUGGGUCUCCUUGACUUAACCCUCGUUUUGCUUCAAAAGGUACAGUUGGUUCCUCUUGUCACAAUAGAAUAGGAGACUAAUGUGAGGCACUCCAUAAUCCAGUGCACAAAUUUUGUUGGAAAAUUCAUGCGAUUCAAAACUUGUUCCGCUAAGAUCCAUUCCUCUGAAUAAUUACUUACCACUUGCAAUCAAUGAGUAUUGUACAAUAGGAAAUGGGUCGAAAUUUCUUCACAGAAGAUGGACUCUUCACUUUAGGGAGUAGGGUAACUUGUGUGCAAUUUAUUGGCUUGUAAAUGGUUGAUCAAUUAAUGAACUCUAUUACAGCAACAACAUCUAUGACAUCUCCUCCAAUUACUGGCCAUGAUUUUAUGAAGAAGCAUGAAUUAAAACCGUCUACACCUGGGGCUUUUAAUUCAUCAAUACUCUUUAGAGCAGUAUACAACUCUUCCCGUCUAACGGGCGCUAUCAACUCCAGCUUCCUGUUAUUAAAGGCUAUCAACUCCAGCUGUUG